UAAGCUAAGUUGAAGCAUAUUAAUAAGCAGAGGAAAAAAACUUACAAGGAUUCCCCUAGUAAUGACGAGAGAACUAGGAAGAAGCCAGCUUGAGAAUUGAACACCCUCAAAGUCUGAAUUAUAGUAUGGAAAAGCGUCCUUAACGGUGGACCAGGCACAAGUCCUCUAAAAAAAGGGCUAAAGAAAGUGAAAACCUCGUGGUGCUCAGACCCUGUUGCACCACGAGGUGCUAUUUGCGAGUUGAGUUGUUUGGGAAUCCAGCCCUAAUUGGGUGGUGAAUUUCGUCCAAGGCAAAAUACGAGCAAAAGACUGAUAGCGAACAAGUACCAUGAAGGAAAAAUGAAAGGGACGUUGAAAAGUGAGUCAAUGAGUGCUUGAAAUUGUCGGGAGAGAAGUGGAUGGUAGUUGAUGAUGCACCUUGGUCGGAUGUGGAAUGGCGAGAGCCAAUCUAUUGAUUAACUUGAGGCAUGGGCUGAUACGAAUUGCGAUGGUGGCAGAAGCCUUGGCCUUCGAUAUGCUUGUGGAAAUGUCAUCAUCGUGAUUGUGGCCAGUAACGCACCAUCUUGGUGAGCCUCGACACUUACAUGCUCCAAGCGUUAGCUUGCGGGCUCCACAUUUAGCUCAUCUUGAAACAUGG
RNAcentral lists this non-coding RNA (637 nucleotides) under Theobroma cacao (cacao). RNAcentral describes it as "Eukaryotic large subunit ribosomal RNA". It matches the Rfam family "Eukaryotic large subunit ribosomal RNA", at positions 24 to 664 of the family's 3401-position model. The record is from Rfam by way of RNAcentral. Lineage: Eukaryota; Viridiplantae; Streptophyta; Magnoliopsida; Malvales; Malvaceae.